Ceratitis capitata (Mediterranean fruit fly) is the source of this 1158-nucleotide RNA transcript. RefSeq lists it as uncharacterized. The record is from RefSeq and is a predicted model, not a curated record. The transcript is spliced from 3 exons. NCBI's taxonomy places the organism in Eukaryota, Metazoa, Arthropoda, Insecta, Diptera, Tephritidae.
GUUGUAGGGCAUUAGAAAAAUUUGUGUGUUUUAAAGAAAGUAAAAUGUGAAAUUAAAUAAAAAUUAAGAAGUGAAAAACUUUAAAAUUUUUCCCUUAAUGUUUGAAAAAUAAAAUUAUUGUUUUGUGUGGAAUAGUUUAUACGAAUGCCACUUAUACUAAGGCGUCUUAGUUUAUUGUGCUGAAAUGUUGAAGGAAACAAUCUUUCACACCGAUUAAUAUGGUGCCGCCAAUACUUCAAGUGGAUUGUUAGGCAUGGAAAUUGCCAGAUUGCAGCAGCGUAAACAAAAGUAUGAAGAUCUGGACGUUUGUUUCACAAGAAGUGUCCGGGGCAACAACUUACUUACCAUAAAUGGCAAGCCCUAUACAUUAAAUCGACGCAUUAAGGAUGUUUGCUACUGGGAGUGUGUCAAACUACGUUGCAAAUACACAAAAUGCACUGCGAGAGUUAUAACAAAAUGUGAUCAGAUUGCAUCGCUCCGCGGUGAUCAUAACCAUAUAUAAAUAUGAAAUAGAAGAAAAAAUACAUAAAUUUAAAGAGUAAAGAAUUAGCUAUUUUGAGAUGUGUUAGUGUGCUGAAAAUUGUUUAUUAAGCUCUAGCGAUAAUGAACUUAGAUUUAUAGAUAACAAACAAGCAACAUUAGAAUACAAACUUAAUUAAAGGGUUUUAGAUUGCUUUAUCAAGGACACAUGUACACCACGAAGCAAAAUACCAUUCCUGGGCAUGCAGUGGAUGAUGUAGCCAUAUCGCGCUGCAUAACCGCCAGUGAAAGUAUAUAGAAUGAAUUUCCGUCAAAGGACUUAUAAUCAAUCAACAACUCGCUAAAGAAAAAAAGAAUCUUCUUACGAGUGCCAAUUUCACAACCAUAGAAAACUAUCGCUUUGUAAUCGGUUCCCAAUCAGCAAGUAAAUAUUACUUGAAAUGUGCUAAUUUUCGAAAUAAAUGUCGCGCCCGUGCAGUUAUAUGCAAAGAUACAUUUGGCUUAAUAUUGCGAAAGAAACAUAAUCACACUGCCGAACAACAAAGUUAUAGGCAAAAGUAAAAUUGUAUUAAAAUUAUGUAUGAUGCUAAUUGAUCUCCAAGAAUUUGAAGACAGCUUCGUCUGUAACAAAAUCUAUAAAAAAUAAAAAUAAUAAUUUAAGACUAUUAAAAGAAAAGC